CAGUAGCCGCGGUAAUACGUAGGGUGCAAGCGUUAAUCGGAAUUACUGGGCGUAAAGCGUGCGCAGGCGGUUAUAUAAGACAGAUGUGAAAUCCCCGGGCUCAACCUGGGAACUGCAUUUGUGACUGUAUAGCUAGAGUACGGCAGAGGGGGAUGGAAUUCCGCGUGUAGCAGUGAAAUGCGUAGAUAUGCGGAGGAACACCGAUGGCGAAGGCAAUCCCCUGGGCCUGUACUGACGCUCAUGCACGAAAGCGUGGGGAGCAAACAGGAUUAGAUACCCGCGUAGUCCCUGUCUCUUAUAA
This 301-nucleotide ribosomal RNA is filed under the name uncultured bacterium. RNAcentral describes it as "partial 16S ribosomal RNA". It matches the Rfam family "Bacterial small subunit ribosomal RNA", at positions 509 to 809 of the family's 1533-position model. The record is from RNAcentral.